GAUGAACGCUGGCGGCGUGCUUAACACAUGCAAGUCGAACGAAGCACUUUAUUUGAUUUCCUUCGGGACUGAUUAUUUUGUGACUGAGUGGCGGACGGGUGAGUAACGCGUGGGUAACCUGCCUUGUACAGGGGGAUAACAGUUGGAAACGGCUGCUAAUACCGCAUAAGCGCACAGCAUCGCAUGAUGCAGUGUGAAAAACUCCGGUGGUAUAAGAUGGACCCGCGUUGGAUUAGCUAGUUGGUGAGGUAACGGCCCACCAAGGCGACGAUCCAUAGCCGACCUGAGAGGGUGACCGGCCACAUUGGGACUGAGACACGGCCCAAACUCCUACGGGAGGCAGCAGUGGGGAAUAUUGCACAAUGGGCGAAAGCCUGAUGCAGCGACGCCGCGUGAGCGAAGAAGUAUUUCGGUAUGUAAAGCUCUAUCAGCAGGGAA
Molecule: ribosomal RNA, 438 nt
Filed under: uncultured bacterium
Lineage: Bacteria
Description: bacterial SSU rRNA
Rfam family: Bacterial small subunit ribosomal RNA
Source: RNAcentral